AGUGAACGCUGGCGGUAGGCCUAACACAUGCAACUCGAACGGCAGCACAGUAAGAGCUUGCUCUUACGGGUGGCGAGUGGCGGACGGGUGAGGAAGACAUCGGAAUCUACUUUUUCGUGGGGGAUAACGUAGGGAAACUUACGCUAAUACCGCAUACGACCUACGGGUGAAAGCAGGGGAUCUUCGGACCUUGCGCGAUUGAAUGAGCCGAUGUCGGAUUAGCUAGUUGGCGGGGUAAAGGCCCACCAAGGCGACGAUCCGUAGCUGGUCUGAGAGGAUGAUCCGCCACACUGGAACUGAGACACGGUCCAGACUCCUACGGGAGGCAGCAGUGGGGAAUAUUGGACAAUGGGCGCAAGCCUGAUCCAGCCAUACCGCGUGGGUGAAGAAGGCCUUCGGGUUGUAAAGCCCUUUUGUUGGGAAAGAAAAGCAGCAGGUUAAUACCCCGCUGUUCUGACGGUACCCAAAGAAUAAGCACCGGGUAACUUCGUG
This 492-nucleotide ribosomal RNA is filed under the name uncultured bacterium. RNAcentral describes it as "partial 16S ribosomal RNA". It matches the Rfam family "Bacterial small subunit ribosomal RNA", at positions 29 to 507 of the family's 1533-position model. The record is from RNAcentral.